RNA transcript from Eutrema salsugineum, 1885 nucleotides. It is a transcript of the gene named putative pentatricopeptide repeat-containing protein At3g16710, mitochondrial, with no coding region annotated. The transcript has 2 exons. The record is from RefSeq and is a predicted model, not a curated record. NCBI's taxonomy places the organism in Eukaryota, Viridiplantae, Streptophyta, Magnoliopsida, Brassicales, Brassicaceae.
AUAGAUUGUGAAUGCGUAGAUCCAUUGCGACUGGGUUUGCGUCGAUAGCGAAGAGGUUUCUUCAUCAUAGGCAUCGUCUGGAGAUUGGUAAUCCUGGAGCUCCUCCUUCCUUUAGCCUUUGGGGUUUCUGUUUCUGGGUACGAGCUUUUUCUGAUUACCGAGACAAUUUGAGAAAUGGUCUUCACAAUCUUCAGUUUUAUGAAGCUCUCGAUUUAUUCACUCGCAUGGUUCACUCUCGUCCUCUUCCCUCCAUCGUCGAUUUCACUAGAUUAUUGAGUGUUAUUGCCAAGAUGAAGAGGUAUGACGUUGUGAUCUCUCUUUUCGAGCAAAUGCAAAUGCUUGGAAUUUCACCUGUUCUGUACACCUGCAACAUCGUGAUGAAUUGUUUGUGCCAAUCCUCUCAGCCUCCUUGUCUUGCUUCGUCUUUUAUUGGGAAGAUGAUGAAACUUGGUUUUGAGCCUGAUAUAGUCACCUUUACUUCUCUGCUCAAUGGUUUCUGUCAUAGGAAUAGCAUCGAUGAUGCCAUAGCUUUGUUUGAUCAGAUUGUGGAAAUGGGAUAUAGACCUAACGUUGUGACAUACACCACGCUGAUUCACUGUCUUUGUAAAAACAGACAUGUGAAUCACGCGUUAGACCUUUUCAACCAAAUGCAAACCAAUGGUGUUAGACCAAAUGUUGUUACUUACAACUCUCUAGUGACUGGUCUUUGUGAUUCCGGUAGAUGGAGCGAUGCCGCCUGGCUCCUGAGAGACAUGAUGAAGAGGAAAAUAGAUCCUAGUGCGAUCACUUUCACUACAUUGAUCGAUGCGUUUGUGAAAGCUGGGAAGCUUUUGGAGGCUAAAGAACUGUACAAGGUGAUGAUCAGUAUGUCUAUAGAUCCUAAUGUUUUCACUUACAACUCACUGAUCAAGGGGUUUUGCAUGCACGGUCGGCUAAGUGAAGCUAUGCAAAUGUUUCAUCUGAUGGAAAGCAAGGGAUGGAAAGCAAAUAUAGUGACUUAUACUACUCUCAUACAUGGAUUUUGCAAGUCUAAGAGAGUAGAUGAUGGGGUGAGAAUCUUUUACAAAAUGUCCCAAAGAGGAUUACUUGCCAACACAAUCACUUACACCGCGCUUAUUCAGGGUUAUUGUCUAGUGGGAAAACCAAAUGUUGCUCAAAAACUGUUCAAUCAGAUGGGUUAUCAUGGUGCGCCACCUCCCGAUAUUAGGACCUACAACGUUCUGCUAGAUGGUCUAUGUUGUAACGGGCACGUAGAGAAAGCAAUGAUGAUGUUCGAAUACAUGCGGAAGAGAGAAAUGGAUGUUAGUAUUGUUACAUAUACUAUCAUUAUUCAAGGGAUGUGCAAGGCUGGUAAGGUGGAAGAUGCUUUUGAUUUAUUUUGUAGCCUUUUCUCCAAAGGGAUGAAGCCGAAUGUUGUAACAUACACUACAAUGAUAUCGGGAUUUUGUAGGCGUGGCCUAAUUCAUGAAGCUGAUGCGCUGUUUAAGAAAAUGAUAAAAGAUGGGUUCUCACCAAAUGAACGUGUGUCUAAGUAGGUGAUACCGCGAGCUGAAACUCAUGAGGAGUUAAGUGUUACUCUGAUGCUUUUGGUCUCACGCAUAUGAUGGUGUAGUUGCAGUUUGGGGAGAGGACACACAGGUGCAGUUAAGUUUUGACAUACCUCGUCAGCUGCAUAGGUUCUGUAGUGAUUCAAUUCCAAGGAGAUGUCAUCUUGACAGAGGUAUUUGUCGUUGAAGGCUUUUUCUAUCGUCAAGAUUCCGCAUGGAAGCAGAGUUGUACAUUUGGAGUAUUGAAGUCGAAUAGUAUUGUUAAGAAAGCUAAUCAGUGUAUAGAUAGGUUGUGGUGAAAGGUAUAUAGGAUCCCUGUAAAGAUUGGUCAAAACUCA